Molecule: ribosomal RNA, 790 nt
Filed under: uncultured Lactobacillus sp.
Lineage: Bacteria; Bacillati; Bacillota; Bacilli; Lactobacillales; Lactobacillaceae
Description: bacterial SSU rRNA
Rfam family: Bacterial small subunit ribosomal RNA
Source: RNAcentral
GACACCAGUGGCGAAGCGCUGUCUGUCUGUACUGACGCUGAGGCUCGAAAGUAUGGGUAGCAAACAGGAUUAGAUACCUGGUAGUCCAUACCAUAAACGAUGAAUGCUAAGUGUUGGAGGGUUCCGCCUUUCAGUGCUGCAGCUAACGCAUUAAGCAUUCCGCUGGGGAGUACGGCCACAAGGCUGAAACUCAAAGGAAUUGACGGGGGCCCGCACAAGCGGUGGAGCAUGUGGUUUAAUUCGAAGCUACGCGAAGAACCUUACCAGGUCUUGACAUACUAUGCAAAUCUAAGAGAUUAGACGUUCCCUUCGGGGACAUGGAUACAGGUGGUGCAUGGUUGUCGUCAGCUCGUGUCGUGAGAUGUUGGGUUAAGUCCCGCAACGAGCGCAACCCUUAUUAUCAGUUGCCAGCAUUAAGUUGGGCACCCUGGUGAGACUGCCGGUGACAAACCGGAGGAAGGUGGGGACGACGUCAAAUCAUCAUGCCCCUUAUGACCUGGGCUACACACGUGCUACAAUGGAUGGUACAACGAGUUGCGAACUCGCGAGAGUAAGCUAAUCUCUUAAAGCCAUUCUCAGUUCGGAUUGUAGGCUGCAACUCGCCUACAUGAAGUCGGAAUCGCUAGUAAUCGCGGAUCAGCAUGCCGCAGUGAAUACGUUCCCGGGCCUUGUACACACCGCCCGUCACACCAUGAGAGUUUGUAACACCCAAAGUCGGUGGGGUAACCUUUAGGAACCAGCCGCCUAAGGUGGGACAGAUGAUUAGGGUGAAGUCGUAACAAGGUAACCA